GUGGGCGUCGCCAAACUGGCAAGGCGCAGGACUCCAAAUCCUGUUAUAUGGGGGUUCGAAUCCCUUCGUCCACG
This 74-nucleotide transfer RNA is filed under the name Candidatus Komeilibacteria bacterium. Its description in RNAcentral is "tRNA-Trp". It matches the Rfam family "tRNA". From Rfam's summary of the family: Transfer RNA (tRNA) molecules are approximately 80 nucleotides in length. Lineage: Bacteria; Candidatus Komeiliibacteriota. The record is from RNAcentral.